UAGAAGGUGGUUAAUGGAUUCCUCAGAAC
This 29-nucleotide non-coding RNA is filed under the name Mus musculus (house mouse). The record is from RNAcentral. Lineage: Eukaryota; Metazoa; Chordata; Mammalia; Rodentia; Muridae.